UACGAAGGGGGCUAGCGUUGCUCGGAAUCACUGGGCGUAAAGGGUGCGUAGGCGGGUCUUUAAGUCAGGGGUGAAAUCCUGGAGCUCAACUCCAGAACUGCCUUUGAUACUGAGGAUCUUGAGUUCGGGAGAGGUGAGUGGAACUGCGAGUGUAGAGGUGAAAUUCGUAGAUAUUCGCAAGAACACCAAUGGCGAAGGCAGAUCUCUGGGCCGUAACUGACGCUGAGGAGCGAAAGCGUGGGGAGCAAACAGGG
RNAcentral lists this ribosomal RNA (254 nucleotides) under uncultured bacterium. RNAcentral describes it as "partial 16S ribosomal RNA". It matches the Rfam family "Bacterial small subunit ribosomal RNA", at positions 524 to 777 of the family's 1533-position model. The record is from RNAcentral.